UACGGGGGGGGCAAGCGUUGUUCGGAAUUACUGGGCGUAAAGGGCUCGUAGGCGGCCAACUAAGUCGGAUGUGAAAUCCCCGGGCUUAACCUGGGAACUGCAUCCGAUACUGGAUGGCUUGAAUUCGGGAGAGGGAUGCAGAAUUCCAGGUGUAGCGGUGAAAUGCGUAGAUAUCUGGAGGAAUACCGGUGGCGAAGGCGGCAUCCUGGACCGACAUUGACGCUGAGUGAGCGAAAGCUAGGGGAGCAAACGGG
Molecule: ribosomal RNA, 254 nt
Filed under: uncultured bacterium
Lineage: Bacteria
Description: partial 16S ribosomal RNA
Rfam family: Bacterial small subunit ribosomal RNA
Source: RNAcentral